Molecule: ribosomal RNA, 443 nt
Filed under: uncultured bacterium
Lineage: Bacteria
Description: partial 16S ribosomal RNA
Rfam family: Bacterial small subunit ribosomal RNA
Source: RNAcentral
CCUACGUGAGGCAGCAGUGGGGAAUAUUGGGCAAUGGGCGCAAGCCUGACCCAGCAACGCCGCGUGAAGGAAGAAGGCUUUCGGGUUGUAAACUUCUUUUCUCAGGGACGAAGCAAGUGACGGUACCUGAGGAAUAAGCCACGGCUAACUACGUGCCAGCAGCCGCGGUAAUACGUAGGUGGCAAGCGUUAUCCGGAUUUACUGGGUGUAAAGGGCGUGUAGGCGGGAAAGCAAGUCAGAUGUGAAAACCAUGGGCUCAACCUGUGGCCUGCAUUUGAAACUGUUUUUCUUGAGUACUGGAGAGGCAGAGGGAAUUCCUAGUGUAGCGGUGAAAUGCGUAGAUAUUAGGAGGAACACCAGUGGCGAAGGCGGUCUGCUGGACAGCAACUGACGCUGAGGCGCGAAAGCGUGGGGAGCAAACAGGAUUAGAUACCCGAGUAGUC